This 193-nucleotide unclassified non-coding RNA is filed under the name uncultured Herpotrichiellaceae. RNAcentral's name for it is "sequence contains ITS2". Lineage: Eukaryota; Fungi; Ascomycota; Eurotiomycetes; Chaetothyriales; Herpotrichiellaceae. The record is from RNAcentral.
UCACCCCUCGAGCCCUCUCGGCUCGGUGUUGGACGGUUUGGUUUUGGUGACAAAACCCCUCCUAAAGUUAAUGACGGCGGCCUGUGGAACCCCCGGUACACUGAGCUUCUUCACUAAGCAUGUAUCGGUCGUUAAAAGGGUAAACAGGACCCGGUCUUUCUUCCUGAAUGGGAAAAUGAAAUUUCUCAAAAAA